GAUCUAAUAAGUCAAUUCAAUGAAUUAAUUAUUAUGUAUUAACCAAUUUUUGAAUUUUCUGUUUGAAUGGGAUCUGGAAAUUACUCUUUGAGGAGUCCAAAUGGAGGUAUAAUAAAUCUCUUGGAGGUUAAACAAAUUAUUACCUUUUUAAAAUGAUUUACUGAUUUAUAUAUUACUAACAAAAAAUAAACAAACACUUUUUUGAAUUGUUAGCAUUAUAUUAUCUAAAUAAACAAAUAAAUCUAAAAAUUACAAUUAAUGGAAAAUAUUAAAGGGAAUAUAAUAUAUGUAUAUAUUAUUCGGCAUCAAA
RNAcentral lists this long non-coding RNA (310 nucleotides) under Phoenix dactylifera (date palm). Its description in RNAcentral is "long non-coding RNA (PDAC_LNC000580)". The record is from RNAcentral. Lineage: Eukaryota; Viridiplantae; Streptophyta; Magnoliopsida; Arecales; Arecaceae.